This 400-nucleotide ribosomal RNA is filed under the name uncultured microorganism. Its description in RNAcentral is "bacterial SSU rRNA". It matches the Rfam family "Archaeal small subunit ribosomal RNA", at positions 330 to 735 of the family's 1478-position model. The record is from RNAcentral.
GUGCAGCAGGCGCGAAUACUUUACAAUGUGCGAAAGCACGAUAAGGGAACUCUGAGUGCCUCCUAAGGAGGCUGUUCAGGUGUCUAAAAGCACCUGAAGGAAGGGCUGAGUAAGACCGGUGCCAGCCGCCGCGGUAACACCGGCAGCCCAAGUGGUAGCCACGUUUAUUGGGUCUAAAGCGUCCGUAGCCGGCUGGGUAAGUUCCUUGGGAAAUUUGGCUGCUUAACAGUCAAGCUUUCAGGGAAUACUGCCCGGCUUGGGGACCGGGAGAGGUCAGAGGUACUCCAGGGGUAGGGGUGAAAUCCAUUAAUCCUUGGGGGACCACCGGUAGCGAAGGCGUCUGACCAGACCGGGUCCGACGGUGAGGGACGAAGGCUAGGGGCGCGAACCGGAUUAGAUA